GACGAACGCUGGCGGCGCGCCUAACACAUGCAAGUCGAACGAGCGAGAGAGAGCUUGCUUUCUCGAGCGAGUGGCGAACGGGUGAGUAACGCGUGAGGAACCUGCCUCAAAGAGGGGGACAACAGUUGGAAACGACUGCUAAUACCGCAUAAGCCCACGACCCGGCAUCGGGUAGAGGGAAAAGGAGCAAUCCGCUUUGAGAUGGCCUCGCGUCCGAUUAGCUAGUUGGUGGGGUAACGGCCCACCAAGGCGACGAUCGGUAGCCGGACUGAGAGGUUGAACGGCCACAUUGGGACUGAGACACGGCCCAGACUCCUACGGGAGGCAGCAGUGGGGAAUAUUGCACAAUGGGGGAAACCCUGAUGCAGCGACGCCGCGUGGAGGAAGAAGGUCUUCGGAUUGUAAACUCCUGUUGUUGAGGAAGAUAAUGACGGUACUCAACAAGGAAGUGACGGCUAACUACGUG
Molecule: ribosomal RNA, 466 nt
Filed under: uncultured bacterium
Lineage: Bacteria
Description: partial 16S ribosomal RNA
Rfam family: Bacterial small subunit ribosomal RNA
Source: RNAcentral